Drosophila mojavensis is the source of this 5512-nucleotide long non-coding RNA. RefSeq lists it as uncharacterized. The transcript is spliced from 5 exons. The record is from RefSeq and is a predicted model, not a curated record. Lineage: Eukaryota; Metazoa; Arthropoda; Insecta; Diptera; Drosophilidae.
UUAAUAAAUAAAAAAACAACAACAACAAAUCAAAAGAAGAGAGAGAGAGAGAGAGAGGCAUAAAAUGCAAUCGCUGGAAAUUCCUGAAUGUAAGACACUUUAUAUGGAAGGGCCGCCGACAGGUGAGUGCAAUGAAUAUGAUAUUUGCAUUGAAUAUGUUAUAUGAUAUAUAUGUAUGUAUGCGUGUAUGUAUGUAUAUAUGCAUAUGAUAUGAUAUAUCAGCGAGAUAUGAGACAGUGAAUGGGCGCAGCAAAUCGACUGAUUGAAACUUGUAGACGGGUUUAAUCUAAGGGGAUUUAUCGGGAAUUCAUAUCUGUAUGAAGUGUAGUAAAUGGGUUUAUGAACGAAAUAUAUGGUAUAUUGAAUGGAAUGGAAUAGUACGUAUAGCGUUACAAUAAAAUAAUAAUAAUAAUAAAAAAAAAUAAUAAUAAUAAAUGGCAGGGAAAGCGAUAACUGAAUAAAAAUACAAGUAAACCUCUCUUGAGAGUAAAUAUAUUGGAAUAGGUUUACUAAUAAAUAAUAUUAUUUAUAAAGUAAUUAGUCUCGAAAGUCAGAAAUAAAUAAUAUUAUUUAUAAAGUAAUUAGUCUCGAAAGUCCGAAUUUACUUAGUUAAAUAAAUAGAGAAUCCUAGAAUUUAAAUAAAAUAUAUAGUUUCCGUUAUUUUACAUAAUUUGUAGUUUCAGUUUAUCGUAUAUAUCAUUUUAGAACUCUGUUUGUAGAACUGAAUAAUAUAUGAUAGCUCAAAGAUUCUUCUAACUAUAAAGUCACUAUUCUUCCAGUUUUCCCAAAUAUAUAUCUUCUUUACAUUAACAUAUUAUAUUUGCAACUUCAACUCAGCUCUUUGAAGCUUCUUCUGCAGCCAAAUAUUUUCUAUAAAGUUCGAAAAUCCCUUUUCGCAAUAUCCACUUUGAGGUCAGAGAAUGAAGUAAGCAUGAAUUUUGCUUCUGCCUGAUCAUUUAGUACGCUUCUUCGCCCAUUGUUUGGGUCUAAUAAUAAAUGGUGUUAAAUAGUUUGGCUCGACGGGUAGCUCAGAUUUUGAUGAGCAUUCCAGUCCCGCAGAGCCCCUCUAGUAGCCUCUUCUAAUAGCCCCCUUCGAGCACGAUGAUUUGCACCUUUUUGGCAAGUCGAAACUAAUUUUGAGUUUUUUCCUCCAACUUUUCUUUUUUUUUUUUUUUUUUGCUACACUCUUAUCAGCGCAAAUAGACAAUUUAAAAGAUAGAGAGAAGAGCAUGGGAACGAGUGUGAGCAAGAGUGUGUAGUGGGGCGGGGGCGGGUAGCGGUCAGGAGCGUACUUGCGAGGGGCUCUUAUCAGCGUCUGCCUGCAAAAUGACAAUUUUAUUUGGCGCGCAUUUCGCUGCCUACCCCCACCAGCGCCCCCAUUGACCCUGCUACCCUCGCCCCUGGGUCGCUUUUCGCGCAAUUGCAUUUGCUGAUAAGCAAAUUAGCUUGCCAACUGGCCUAGUAAUUGAGUUUGCGGGAAGAGACAGGUACAUGUGUAAGGUAAAUGUGAGCAUGUGUGUGUGUGUGUGUGGUGGGGGCGUUAACCAGCCGAGCAAACUUCUAAGCAGCCGCCGAUUGAGCAAAGCUUUUUUUUGCCAAAAGCGGUUCUCACAUUUGUCAUGGCAGAAGGAGGAGUGUGGGAGGCUAGAAAGGGGGAGUUCAUAAUAAAGAAAAGUGGCCGCAAAGAGUGCUUAAAAAAUGGAAAUAGAUGAGUGUGCCAAGAGCAGAGCGGAGGCUGGGCAGGGUCGCAGGUGAACACAAAAAAAAAGGAACGACGCUGAAUAAAAAGAAGAAAAUGAAAUAGAAACAUGAGAGCAAAAAAUGAACUAAAGAAUUUCUACUUAUAACGAGUUUUUAUUACAAACGCGCGAAAGCGGCACAAAAAAAAUAAUAAAAUAAAAUAAAAGAAAGAACGGACUGCUUCUCAAACCGUUAGCCGAAAAUGUAUUAAAAAAGAAGUAAAAAUAAGUAAGCAAAAAAAAAAAAAAAUAAAAAAAAUAAAAAUACAGACUGAAUCUAACAAAAUUCCAAAAGGAGUGCCUGGGCCAAAGGGAAGAGCGAGGGAGCGACGGGAGUAGGCAGAGUGGGAGAGUGCACAUAAAAAGUAACAGCAUUUUUGCCUAGCAGACAAAUGCACAGACAGACGCAGAGACGGACGAACUGGCAGAUGAAGAACAAGACUGCGAAAGCAUGAAGCAACAUUAUUCAAAAGAAAGCCAAGUUAAGGCAUGCCGAGCACUCACUCACACACACACACACUCAAAGAGAGAGGCAGAGUCAGAGAGGAACGGAGAGAGAGAGAGAUAGAGACAGAGAAAGAGGCGAAGAGAGAGCAGACAGACAAAAGCAGCAUAAUGCAGCAGAGAAGUGCAUGAGACAGGCACAGUUACAACAACAAUGGCGGAUCGCAGCUAGCAUUAAACAUCAAGUAGCAGCAGCAGAAGCAGCAGCAGCGACAGUGGCAGUGGCAGUGGCAGCGACAGCGGCGCCGACAGUAACGGCGACGUCAGCAGCGAAUGUAAGCGUUACAACAACAAACACAUGCCGACAUUCUUUCAUUCGUACAACGACCUCGACUUUGAUUUGCAGUUAAACGGCCAGAGCCAAGUAAUUUUCGCAAGCGUGAGAGAAUUAUUUUCGCGAGAGAGCAAGAAGCAAGGCAAACAGAUGUCAGCCCCAAACGGCCUCUAGACGACCUACACGCGUGAGCGAGAGCGCGCGUGAGAGAACGGCAAAUAUGCGCUCGGCUCGAGUCGGCUUUCGUAUGGCGUCGUAGCGCCAUCGUGUUUUGGCAUUCGUGUCUCGUCGCCGCUUCUGCUGCCUCUGCUCCCGUUGUCGGCGGCGGCGACAGCGACAGCGACUGAGGCUGCUGUAUGCUAUGCCAAGUCGUUUGUUCGUCAACUCCAUUCAUUCGUAUUGCGCGUCUCGUCUGUGCCGGUCGUCCAAAGCUGCUCAGGUCUUACAGAUUGUGCUUCAUUUGUCAUCGAACACACAGACACUCACACACAUACACGCAGCCACAGACACUUCAUAGAAUCAUACAGUUAGGUAGACAGUGUUCAGCAACAAAGACAAAACAGUGCUUUAAAGUGCCGAAGUGAACAUUCGCAGCAAUCAAAUCGAAUACAACACAAAAAGCAAACGCGUUAUUCAUGCAAAAUAAAAUCAAAUCAAAUGAAAUAAUACAAAAUAAACUUGACUAUCGCCAGACACAGACACACGCAUACACUCAAAUGUGAAGAGAGACAACAAAACAGCAGCAGGUCGGCCAGACAACUCACAAACACACAAACAUAUACAGCUAGCAGUUAGCAGCUACAGUUAUCAAAUGCGGCCGCCGCCGGCCUGUCAACUUGUCCAGACAGCGAGAGCGAGAGCGAGAGAGAACGAUACAGAGAGGGAGAGAUGGGGGGAGAGAGAGCGACAGCGAGAGUGUGUGGGCUAGAGCGAGCGAGCGAGAGCGGGCCUAUAAAUUUCAUAUGUGCAAUGUUUGUGCCUGGCUGCUGUGCUGUGCGUUGUAUCAGCUAACCGGAUGUUGAUUUGUUGGCCGCAACAAACACAAAACAUGGUCCAAGCCAAGCAGCAGCCAUCUUAACACUCACACCCAUGCCCACACACACACACUCAUAGAGAGAGAAAGAGAGGCAUACGCACUCCCUCGCUGGUACAUUUGCAACACUGGCGCUGCCUUUAAGCACGAUGAAAAAGAAUGCAAAAUGAUGCUAGAUAAAAGACUUGCAACACGCUUGAAUGAGGCCAGAAAACAAAGCCAAACAAGAGUGCAUAUUCACAUACUCUCUAUACACCCCUCAUAUACUCUCUCUCUCUCUAUCAACUCUAUAUUCUAUAUAUAGGCAGCCAUGGAACGGACAAGCACAGCUUUAAAUAGAAACUAGAAGACUGACAGCGCUAGAUCCAGGCAAAUUGAUCUGGCUACGAGCUGACGAAACAGUUUCCCAACAAUAAGCCACACAUGCUUGUAAAUGAGAGGCCAAAAAUGUAUUCCAAGUGCCCGGGGCAAAGGAGAGGGGACACGGGACACGGGACACGGCACGCAGGAUGCAGGAUGAAGGACGAAGGACGAAAGACGGCAUGCGUUCUCUAGCACACACUUCCGGCACGAGCUCGUCAGACUUGACUUGACUUGAGACUUCAGAAAACUUGGCUACUCUCGCUCUAUCUCUCUUUUUCGCUUUAGAGCGGGGGCGUGGCAGCAGCCCCAGAUGUCUCAGACACGCACAGCCCAGCGCGAUUUAUGAUUCAGGUAAAUAUUUAUGUAGAUUAUAAAUAUUCUUUAUUAUAGCACUUAAUUGCUCUGUUCACACCACGCUUGCUCCAAGAGAAUAUUAGACCGAAAGAAACUUUUUUAUACAUAGCAGAAAUAUGAACAUUAUAUUGUGUUAGCAGUGAAUACAGCAAAUUAAUUACAGCAAAUAUAUUCUGUAUGUAAACUUAAGCAAAAGCUUAUUUUAUGCGUUUUCUAUAAAACCUUGUUUUGAAUUUAAAUUAAAAAUAGAGUAAAUUUAUUAUCGCUGUUAUAUAUAAAAUCAAGGGAGUUUACGCGUCUUAAAUAAAUCUUUAAAUCGUUUUACUUACUACAGAAGUUACCUAAUGUAGGUUUUUACUCGAUUAAUUUACAUAUUUCUGGCUCUACCGAAUAUAGUAGACAUUAAACUAGAUACAGCCAACUAACUUUAUUUAUUACUAAUACCAUCGGCCGUCGGAAGAGCUCUUUCAAUAAUUUCGCAUAUCCAUCAUCUACUCAACCUCCCAAUAAUUUCUGAAUUUCUUAAUACAAUAAAUUUUCAAUUUAUGUAAAAUAUAUUCAGGAAGUAUUUACCUUCAAUCAGAAUAUAUAUGUAUGUAUGGUACGUCUCAUAAAGUAUAUUAUCACAUCACUUAAACUACUACUGCUGCAGUCUUAAUUAGCUAUGAAUAUAUCGCGCUCUGCCAUUCAGCGUGGGUAUUUCCACUGCCACAGUUCUCAGCCAGUUUAGCCCCGUACAACAUUUAUUUUAUAUAUAUAUAUAUAUUAUUUACUCUCUCGCUUUUUUUCAAAAAGUUUCUUAACUUUUAGUGGCUUUUGGCAAGUGCUCGCAAUUAAAUUUAAUUAGUUUAACUUAAAACUGCAAAAACUAAUUGCUCGAUGCGUGCGCGUCUCAAAUCUUUUCCAUUUAAUUUGCUUUUUAUGACGAGUUGUCGCUGCUGCCUCCGUUGUUGUUUCCACAGAAUUUUUUACGAGUGCCAAACGUGCGAAACUUUAGUUACAGCACAAAAAAUAAGCGCACAUUUAACUAGCAGUUUAUGCGAGGAGAAGGGGAGGAAGAGGGGGACCAGAGACUGUGGCAAGUCGAAGCUACGGAAUGAUUUGCCACUAAUUGGCCAGAUAAGCGCUUUUUAGACAUGUUUUAAUUGGCCACACUAGCUGUUAACUGUAAAUUGUGGCACACGCACACAUAUACAUUCGUCAGGUGUGUGUGGCAAGCAGCUCUAAUCAGCUGCAGUUAGCCCC